CAACACACGUUUACUUUACCUUUACAUCAUUCCCAGCAGGAGCAAAGUGAAUAGCAACAUUCUGUUUGGUUCCGUGACCGGUGCUGACAGAUUGAGUGGGUUGAUCCAUGUACUUACAUUCACAGAUUCCAUGAUGCCAGUGUGAGUUGAAGACAGUUUAAAAGAGCUUCAGUCCAUUUAGUUUGCAGAUUGAGAGCAACUCCAGUACAGCAUUCAUGGAAAAAGAAGACUAAAAGGAACAGAACUGAGCGACAGGAGUUAUUACCAUUUCAGAUGCUGGUAGCACAAGCUUGCCUGGGCAAUGUGAAAUAUAGCAAAAGAAAAUGGUAAUCCAAAAAGAAAAGUGGUAUGUAGACAGCAGCCAAGUGGAGGUCAGAAUGUCAAAAAAUCUCUUUCACACAGAAUGUAAUAAGAUUAUUUAUGUGUGUAAAAUCCACAUUCCCUGUAAGGCUUCUCUCACCUGUGCUAUUUAUACAGAGUACCAAUUCAACAAUGGUAGCAGAUGCCUAGGAAAGGCUCAGUAACACCGUAAUGUUGGCUGUUAGAGCUCCAAAGCUGAGAAUGAAUCCUGUAAGCAGGUGAAGCUAACUCUUGAUGCCGGCAGGACUGUGGGCUGAUUACAGUUGUCAUAGGGAUGGACAUUCCUGUGAUGAGUUCUCCAUCCCAAGCCAUAAUGUUUGUAAGCUCUUACGAUGUUAGGUGGUCUCUUCACAUUGUGAGUAUCAUUACAAUGACUCUUCCAGCAUAUCAGUGGCAGUUGUGUUGACCGCCUUAACUUUCUCAAAGAGUGGGCCAAUAUAUGAGAAGAAGAUCUAAUAUGUCAACAAAUUAAAUGUUACCAAGUAUAU
Long non-coding RNA from Hemicordylus capensis (graceful crag lizard), 848 nucleotides. RefSeq lists it as uncharacterized. The record is from RefSeq and is a predicted model, not a curated record. NCBI's taxonomy places the organism in Eukaryota, Metazoa, Chordata, Lepidosauria, Squamata, Cordylidae. The transcript is spliced from 3 exons.